This is a long non-coding RNA of Conger conger (European conger), 3524 nucleotides long. RefSeq lists it as uncharacterized. Lineage: Eukaryota; Metazoa; Chordata; Actinopteri; Anguilliformes; Congridae. The transcript has 3 exons. The record is from RefSeq and is a predicted model, not a curated record.
AUACUGCAUUUGUGUAAGAAAAGAUAAACCAGCAUAAAGACAAGAGAGCUGUCUUUGGGAGAAAAGUAAGCCAUUUUGAAGCUUAGAAAUGCAUCCAAACUAAUUGGGAGGAACUUCAUCAUGUGGCAAGACAAUGACCCAAAACACACUGCAAAAACAAGACUUCAUCAGGGAGACAAAGGUUUUAGAAUGGCUGUAGGUGAUCGGUGUAUAUCAGUAUAUGGGAUACAAUCUAUCAGUAUAUAUCAGUAUAUAUUGUAACGUAAGUUUUUAUUCAAUGUGACUUCUAUGAAUUUGGUUUGUUUCAUUGCCAUUAUUGUGAAAUGGUCUGAUGUCUGACCAAUAGGAUUCGACCGUCAUGCAGCGUGUAGUGUAUGUACAUGGAAGUGAUGGUGAGAUUGAUUGCUGUUUAUGUACCCGCUGUAUGGCCCCUGAUGAGAUAAUUACUUAUCCUCGCUGGAGCUGGUGGGAGCAGCAUUGUAUUCCAAGUCUGACCAGUAAACAACUGAACUACAUCACUAGACUUGUCGUGUCGUUGCGAGCGCUUCCGGAGACUGACAGCAGAAUGGAGAGCUCCAGCUUGCCGCCCCCGGCCUGUGACCAGCAGCUGUGUCAGUCCCACGGCAGGUGUGUGAUGGUGGACAGGGAGCCCUCCUGUGAGUGUCUGCUGGGGUACAGAGGCUCGUUCUGCCAGGACCCGGGUCAGCCAGUCCAUCGGCGUGCCGCUGACGCUGGGCUUCCUGGGAGUCGUGGCUGGGCUCAUCCUGCUGGCCUUCACCUGCAGGUUCCUAUGGAAACGCGUGAAGAUCCAUCAGAGGAAAGUGGCGGCUACUCCGAAGCUGAUUCCCAUGGUGGACAUUGACAAAUGACAGCAGACCAAGGCUCCUCCAGUCACAGUUACUUCGCAUCCCUUUCAAAUCCUCUGGAAAGCUGCGGAACCACUGCCUGAUACCCAGAAUGCACUGGGCCCACUCACAUUUGCACAUAGGUCAAGAACAAGCAGUGAUGAUCUCACCAUAUACACUAAUUUCAGCUUUAAUGCUCAUGCAAGUCUGACUGAGUCCCAUAUUUCAGCGGAAAGACGUAUUUAAUGUUUUAGUAUAAUGGGGUGGAUAAUUGACUUAUCCUAACCCUAACUGGGUGAGCUGCAGAGGUUUUUGAAGUUAUAGAGAGUUAAAGUCUUCCCCAAACUGUUCCGAUCUCCUAUUUGGCGGUAGAACUAAAUAGUGGCUGAGUCCAUGGAUGGUAGAAACACAAGGUGUGGGACUCAUAUUUUCUGACCCGUGAAUCCUCCACUUCUGCUGUGCUGGGUUAAUGCCUCCCAUAUAAGCUAUUCACAGUGGCCUCAAACUCAGUGCCUUGGUGGGCCGUGUGUAUGCCGGUUUUUAUUCCAGCCCCAGAUCUUUAUUAUAUAAUUAGUUCAAUGAUUUGCUGAAUCAGUGCUGUAGGCUUGCAUGUAAUGUUAUAUUCUGUGCUUUAAUGCAGUUAAAUUAAUAUGGCUGAAUGAGCACUUGGAAUCAAUGCAGGCAGUAUUGUUUGGAAUGAAAGCCUCCAUCCACACAGCACUCCGUGGCAAUGAGACCACUGCUGCUCUGCUCCAAGGGAGCUUCUCUAGAGUGACAGACUAUAACCUUUAUUAUAUCUGGCUCAGAGAUAACUGCAGGAGCCCAUAAUUAGGUCUUCUUACUGAGGAUUUUGGAAAACAGUGUGAAACUAUUUCUGUGGUGAAAUAUUGGGAAAUCAAAGCUGCCUCAGGUCCUGGUUUUUCAAAAACUUGUUGAUCCAAUUUCAUAACUGGAAAACAAUAUCAUAUGUUUUAUUCGCCUUGGUGAGGUGACCUCAUCCUGUGUUUUAUCUGAUGAACAUUUAAAUUAAAGAUAGAGAUGGAUAAGUUUUCAUUUCAAAUAAUUUUACUCCUAAAAGCAUUAUCGUAUUGUACGUGAGGUUAUUAAGGGAAACAUGUUUUUUUUUAUUGUAGCAUUACACUUAUUUAAUUGCAGUAAGAGCGAUAUAAAGCACCUUACAUUAAAGUUUACAGUACUGAAAAGCUAAAAGCUUAACCUGAUUUGGUAUGUCUAAACAUUAUCUUAAAUGAACCAAUGAUCAAAAUCGUCAGUAUUUAGCACCUCAUUAGCAAUAACAAAAACAUUUUUUUUUUCUGUCACGUUUCUGAUACAGACCAGUUUCGGUGCUGCUCUCUAACCUCUAACAAACUUCUGUCACUUUAAAUCAAACAGUAUGGAUAUUCCAUUUCUCACAUUGCAUGCUUUAGCUAUGGAAGCUAUUCCGUGUCACAUUUACAAUUAUCAAACGACCAUGUCUAAUAAUGAAAACUCAACAGGUGAAUUAACAAACACCUACAUCGCAUACAAACUCAACACACUAAUUAUCAAAUGACGUAUACGGUUUUAUUACAUUGGUGUUUAUUUGUUUAAACAGAGCCGGCUUUUAACAUUCAUCAUGACCUCGUUUGGCAACUGCAUAUUUGAAACUAGUUGUUUCAAAACUAUCCUAGGUUAAACAGUUUUUUUUCAGAAGGGUAGUGACAUGAUGACGCAUAACCACACGUGGAAAUAAUAUUGAUUGUCACAAUAAAUGAAAAAUACUAUUAGUGUUAGCUGCUGGGUUAAGAAAAUAUUUUUGUGAAAGACAAUGUAAAACCAGAGUGGCUGAACCUCUGACUUGAGCCAAUAGCUAGGUAUAUCGCAGUCUCAGUAUCGCUGCGCUUGAGCAAACUGCAGAGCUAGACUAACCCACCUCAUUUAGUUGCCUAGGUGCUUUCUUAAUAGCAUUAAGAAAGCACCUAUAUAUAGGCCUAUAUAUAGAUAAAAUCGACCUCUGAAUGUAGUCCAUGUGCGCCUUCCGGCUACAAACAAAACAUCAAGAGCCAAAACAUGGAUCUGUAUCCAUGGGCGUGGCUUUUGAUUGACAUUUGUAGGCCGUCGUUCUGAAUUAUAAAUGCAAGCUUGGAAAUAACAAUGAUAAAUGGAAAUUACAAACUUGGUGAUGAUUAAUGAUAAAAGGUGGCUGUUUUUAUUUUAUUUUGAUUAUUUUUUACAUCAAAUAAACAUCGCUUUAAUGAAAUCGCACGCGGUCUUUUGUUAAUUCAUGUGCUGAGUUUGCAUGCGGUGGUUUGUUAAUUCACGCGCUGAGUUUUAAUAAUAUACAAUGUGUGGCCUUUUGUUCAAUCGUGUUUUGAGUUUUCAUUAUUAGUCGAGGCCCGGAAUAGCUUCCGUAUUUAACAACUAUGCUAGGACAUGUUUCUGUUUACUGUUUACAAACUUACAUUACGUAAUAAGAAGAGCUUAAUAUUGAUAUCGCAAAAUUGUAUAUGCUACUUCUGUUUUUAUACCUGGUCAUCACCCACUCCAUAAAUCUGAGGCGCAUGUCUAAACUUCAAGUACAAAGUUCAAAGUUCAUAAAUAGAACUUUCGUUGUCACUGAUUUCGUUUUAAACCCGCUUCUGAGAAGAGUUUCAGUUUUUCUUGCUUGGAGACUGCAAUAAAGAAUGAUUUAAACUCUAA